GACCACGGGAGUUUGCCAGGAGAGGAAGCAGAAACAGUCUCCAGUUUGAGAGGCAGUUCAGUUCAGUUCAGUUCAGGCGCUCAGUAGUGACAGACUCUUUGCGACCCCAUGGACUGCAGCACGCCAGGCUUCCCUGUCUUUCACCAACUCCUGGAGCCUACUCAAACUCAUGUCCAUUGAGCCGGUGAUGCCAUCCAACCAUCUCAUCCUCUGCCUUCCCCUUCUCUUCCUGCCUUCAAUCAGAACCAGAACCAAAAAAGGCCUCAGGGGUCGGGGACGGCAGCUGCGGGCCCCUGAGGUUUCAGAGAGCCACACUGCCAUCGGCUGCCUUAAGGACCCAGCACUAAAGUUAGCCACCUGGUGAGAACCUCCCCUGCUUUUCACUGGGGAGCAAAAGCAACCAGCACCUCCUUCGAGCCGGAAUCGAACCAGCGACCUAAGGAUGACCACACGUGUCAGAUCUACAGUCCUCCGCUCUACCAGCUGAGCUAUCGAAGGGUGCGCGCCACCAAGCGGCCGGGGACCUUACUUUUUCUGGAAAUGCCGCAACACCACACUGAGACGCCCAAGGUGAGGUCGUCCGAACUCGUCGGAAGCCCCUUUGAAGAGACCGGUGUGCUCGCCGCCAGGGCGCCAAGUGCGGGUGCGAGGACCCGGCAAUCCUGCGGGGUGGCUGCGGCCCGGCCUUUGUGUCGGCUGGCAUCGGGGCAGCGAGUUUCAAGAUGCCUCGUUUUCUCUCCGCCGUCCCUCUUUCUACAAGUGGGGACCGCUCCCUGAAAGCGCGGAAGAGAGCUAGGGGAGAGGCGUUGGGAAAUGGAUGCGCGCGUGGGGGCGGGAGGCCGGGCCGAGGAGAGGGCACCGCGGAGCCGACUGCCAACCGCCUAGGCAGCCACCUGGUGCUCUUUAAGUGCCGUCAGUUCAAACUACUGUUUUGGUCAAAAUGGUAUUAUUUGUUGUGCCGCCCUUCAAAGCCAGUAUCAUCUUGCCUGCACUCCGCGGAUCUCCUAUGGAUCUCCCUGCUUUCGCCCUCCCACCUAUACAGCCAGAGUGAUUUUUCUCUCCUUUGCUAGGGGAGUGUGGAAGAGGGGUGAGGGUGGGAUGUGGAGGGUUUAGAUGAAGCUGCUUCUCUUCUGGAAACUUCUGGUUCACUCAGACUUGAACCCUUACACAGGUCUACACGACCCUCAGUUCUUGUCUCCACGCAGUCACCUCUCUCAGUUUCGGUACCAUUCAUACAUUUUGUUCUGUAUUCAGGACCUUCAUGC
Long non-coding RNA from Bos taurus (domestic cattle), 1265 nucleotides. Lineage: Eukaryota; Metazoa; Chordata; Mammalia; Artiodactyla; Bovidae. The record is from Ensembl.